GAUGAACGCUAGCGGCAGGCCUAACACAUGCAAGUCGAGGGGCAGCACAGGUAGCAAUACUGGGUGGCGACCGGCGGAUGGGUGCGUAACGCGUAUGCAACCUACCAUUGAUUGGGGCAUAGCCCGAAGAAAUUCGGAUUAAUACUCCAUAAUAUUCAUCAAAGGCAUCUUUUAUGAAUUAAAGCUUUUGCGAUCAAUGAUGGGCAUGCGUGACAUUAGUUAGUUGGUGAGGUAACGGCUCACCAAAACGAUGAUGUCUAGGGGUUCUGAGAGGAUUAUCCCCCAACUGGUACUGAGACACGGACCAGACUCCUACGGGAGGCAGCAGUGAGGAAUAUUGGUCAAUGGGCGCAAGCCUGAACCAGCCAUCCCGCGUGCAGGAAGACGGCCCUAUGGGUUGUAAACUGCUUUUCCAGGGAGAGAAACUUACGCACGUGUUGCGUGACUGACGGUACCCUGGGAAUAAGCAUCGGCUAACUCCGUCG
This 485-nucleotide ribosomal RNA is filed under the name uncultured bacterium. Its description in RNAcentral is "bacterial SSU rRNA". It matches the Rfam family "Bacterial small subunit ribosomal RNA", at positions 28 to 508 of the family's 1533-position model. The record is from RNAcentral.